CCUACGGGAGGCAGCAGUGGGGAAUAUUGCGCAAUGGGCGAAAGCCUGACGCAGCGACGCCGCGUGAGGGAUGAAGGUCUUCGGAUCGUAAACCUCUGUCAGCAGGGAAGAACGGUCACUGUGCUAAUCAGCAGUGAAUUGACGGUACCUGCAAAGGAAGCACCGGCUAACUCCGUGCCAGCAGCCGCGGUAAUACGCAGGGGGCAAGCGUUAUCCGGAAUUACUGGGUGUAAAGGGAGCGUAGACGGUUAAGUAAGGCUGGAGUGAAAGGCCGGGGCCCAACCCCGGGACUGCUCUGGAAACUAUUGAACUUGAGUGCGGGAGAGGUAAGCGGAAUGCGUGGUGUAGCGGUGAAAUGCGUAGAUAUUAGGAGGAACACCAGUGGCGAAGGCGGCUUACUGGAGUGUAACUGACGUUGAGGCUCGAAAGCGUGGGGAGCGAACAGGAUUAGAUACCCUGGUAGUC
RNAcentral lists this ribosomal RNA (465 nucleotides) under uncultured bacterium. RNAcentral describes it as "partial 16S ribosomal RNA". It matches the Rfam family "Bacterial small subunit ribosomal RNA", at positions 338 to 795 of the family's 1533-position model. The record is from RNAcentral.